Molecule: ribosomal RNA, 623 nt
Filed under: uncultured bacterium
Lineage: Bacteria
Description: bacterial SSU rRNA
Rfam family: Bacterial small subunit ribosomal RNA (bases 1-541)
Source: RNAcentral
CCUACGGGAGGCAGCAGUGGGGAAUUUUGGACAAUGGGCGCAAGCCUGAUCCAGCAAUGCCGCGUGAGUGAAGAAGGCCUUCGGGUUGUAAAGCUCUUUUGUCAGGGAAGAAACGGUCUACUCUAAUACAGUGGGCUAAUGACGGUACCUGAAGAAUAAGCACCGGCUAACUACGUGCCAGCAGCCGCGGUAAUACGUAGGGUGCAAGCGUUAAUCGGAAUUACUGGGCGUAAAGCGUGCGCAGGCGGUUAUAUAAGUCAGAUGUGAAAUCCCCGGGCUCAACCUGGGAACUGCAUUUGAGACUGUAUGGCUAGAGUGUGUCAGAGGGGGGUAGAAUUCCACGUGUAGCAGUGAAAUGCGUAGAUAUGUGGAGGAAUACCGAUGGCGAAGGCAGCCCCCUGGGAUAACACUGACGCUCAUGCACGAAAGCGUGGGGAGCAAACAGGAUUAGAUACCCUGGUAGUCCACGCCCUAAACGAUGUCUACUAGUUGUCGGGACUUAAUUGUCUUGGUAACGCAGCUAACGCGUGAAGUGACCGCCUGGGGGNGGUACGGUCGCGAGAGUAAACGUAACGAAAGAAGUAGAGCGNGAGAGAGACGACGGACGACGACGAGGGAGGAGG